Pieris napi is the source of this 620-nucleotide long non-coding RNA. RefSeq lists it as uncharacterized. The record is from RefSeq and is a predicted model, not a curated record. The transcript is spliced from 2 exons. NCBI's taxonomy places the organism in Eukaryota, Metazoa, Arthropoda, Insecta, Lepidoptera, Pieridae.
UAUUACAUAUUUAUUCUAUGUCUUCUCUGAAUAACUAAACUAUCUAGCUAAGUAUUAGAUAAUUAGUGCAUUUCCAAUAAUUGUUGCGUGAUAAACAUCUAUUUUGAAAGUUUUAUCAGAUAUGUUUUUAAAAUAGAAUGAAAUUGCCAUCUGAUUAAAAUCAUAAUCCGAUAAACCUUUAAUAUAAAUGUUGCCCCUUUUUAAAUAUCGCCAGUUACAUAUUGAAUAACUAUUAAUUUAAAUUCGAUUGCUACCAUCAGCUUUUUAUUCACUUAUCGACAUAAAUUCUGUAACAAUGAACCGUCGAACCAACAUGCCUGGAGCUUUCACCGUCCAAGGAUACUCUAUCGCAACGAACCCCUGCUUCGGACCGAGCAGAUUGAGCAACCCACAUUUUGGGGCACCUGUCAAUCCACCACCACACUACAACACUUGCUUCGUCUCCGCAUCUUCGCUCAGGAAAGCUUACCCCCAGAUGACUCCCACUCGAAAUAAUCAUUGUUUUAAGUGAUUCGCCUCGAUAAUGGUUAUAUUGAAUCUCAAUUAUGGAAUGUAUUAUAUCUAGGCAUAAGUAUGUUAAGUGUUGACUAAUUUCUAACUUAUUAAAACCUAUUAACUCU